Molecule: ribosomal RNA, 274 nt
Filed under: uncultured bacterium
Lineage: Bacteria
Description: partial 16S ribosomal RNA
Rfam family: Bacterial small subunit ribosomal RNA
Source: RNAcentral
AUACGAGGGGUGCAAGCGUUAAUCGGAAUUACUGGGCGUAAAGCUUUCGUAGGCGGUUUGUUAAGCAAGAUGUGAAAGCCCAGGGCUCAACCUUGGAACUGCAUUUUGAACUGGCAAACUAGAGUACUGUAGAGGGUGGUGGAAUUUCCAGUGUAGCGGUGAAAUGCGUAGAGAUUGGAAGGAACAUCAGUGGCGAAGGCAGCCACCUGGACAGAUACUGACGCUGAGGAACGAAAGCGUGGGGAGCAAACAGGAUUAGAAACCCUAGUAGUCC